This 492-nucleotide ribosomal RNA is filed under the name uncultured bacterium. RNAcentral describes it as "partial 16S ribosomal RNA". It matches the Rfam family "Bacterial small subunit ribosomal RNA", at positions 29 to 507 of the family's 1533-position model. The record is from RNAcentral.
AGUGAACGCUGGCGGUAGGCCUAACACAUGCAAGUCGAACGGCAGCACAGUAAGAGCUUGCUCUUACGGGUGGCGAGUGGCGGACGGGUGAGGAAUACAUCGGAAUCUACUUUUUCGUGGGGGAUAACGUAGGGAAACUUACGCUAAUACCGCAUACGACCUACGGGUGAAAGCAGGGGAUCUUCGGACCUUGCGCGAUUGAAUGCGCCGAUGUCGGAUUAGCUAGUUGGCGGGGUAAAGGCCCACCAAGGCGACGAUCCGUAGCUGGUCCGAGAGGAGGAUCAGCCACACUGGAACUGAGACACGGUCCAGACUCCUACGGGAGGCAGCAGUGGGGAAUAUUGGACAAUGGGCGCAAGCCUGAUCCAGCCAUACCGCGUGGGUGAAGAAGGCCUUCGGGUUGUAAAGCCCUUUUGUUGGGAAAGAAAAGCAGCAGGUUAAUACCCCGCUGUUCUGACGGUACCCAAAGAAUAAGCACCGGCUAACUUCGUG